RNAcentral lists this small RNA (894 nucleotides) under uncultured Sphingomonadaceae bacterium. RNAcentral describes it as "bacterial SSU rRNA". The stretch from base 1 to 471 matches the Rfam family "Bacterial small subunit ribosomal RNA", at positions 1064 to 1533 of the family's 1533-position model. Lineage: Bacteria; Pseudomonadati; Pseudomonadota; Alphaproteobacteria; Sphingomonadales; Sphingomonadaceae. The record is from RNAcentral.
GUCGUGAGAUGUUGGGUUAAGUCCCGCAACGAGCGCAACCCUUGUCCUAUGUUGCCAGCGCGUAAUGGCGGGGACUCGUAGGAGACUGCCGGGGUCAACUCGGAGGAAGGUGGGGACGACGUCAAGUCAUCAUGCCCCUUAUGUCCAGGGCUGCAAACAUGCUACAAUGGCCAGUACAAAGGGUCGCGAUCCCGCGAGGGGGAGCUAAUCCCAUAAAGCUGGUCUCAGUUCGGAUUGGAGUCUGCAACUCGACUCCAUGAAGUUGGAGUCGCUAGUAAUCCCGGAUCAGCUACGCCGGGGUGAAUACGUUCCCGGGCCUUGUACACACCGCCCGUCACACCACGAAAGUUGGUAACACCCGAAGCCGGUGGCCGAACCGUAAGGACGGAGCCGUCGAAGGUGGGACCAGCGAUUGGGGUGAAGUCGUAACAAGGUAGCCGUACCGGAAGGUGCGGCUGGAUCACCUCCUUUCUAAGGAGCUGACACCUCAGCUCGAGGCCAUUUCGUGCUUCGAGACCGAGGUCAGUUACCCAGUUGAUGCACUCGCUGGGCCUUCCUCAUCCAAUGCUCGACUUGUAGACCUUGUGUCUCGUCGAGUGGCGGGGAAGAAGUCCACGCUCAUUCCUCUGUUCCGUUUUGAAGGUGCGAUCGCACCGCCGGCCCCUCGGGUCCGGCGGUGUCGUCGUCCUUCGGGACUGAUCACGCCUCUGCGCUCGACGCACGCGUGUACGCGCCCCUUGAGAAUUCGAUAGCGAGCACGAGCAUCUUUUAGAGCUGAAGUUCCAAGCUAUAAAGAGCCAACGGUGGAUGCCUUGGCGCCUGAUGCCGAUGAAGGACGUGGGUGGCUGCGAAAAGCCACGGGGAGCUGCCGACCUAGCUUCGAUCCGUGGAUGU